RNAcentral lists this ribosomal RNA (252 nucleotides) under uncultured bacterium. RNAcentral describes it as "partial 16S ribosomal RNA". It matches the Rfam family "Bacterial small subunit ribosomal RNA", at positions 524 to 776 of the family's 1533-position model. The record is from RNAcentral.
UACGUAGGUCACAAGCGUUAUCCGGAUUUAUUGGGCGUAAAGCGUCCGCAGGUUGUUUAACAAGUUCAAGGUUCAAUGCUGAAGCUCAACUUCAGUCUGCCUUGAAAACUGUUUGACUAGAGUAUGGGAGAGAGUAGUGGAAUUCCUCAUGUAGCGGUGGAAUGCAUAGAUAUGAGGAGGAACACCAAUAGCGAAGGCAGCUACUUGGCUCAUUACUGACACUCAGGGACGAAAGCGUGGGGAGCAAAUAGG